Molecule: ribosomal RNA, 970 nt
Filed under: human gut metagenome
Description: bacterial LSU rRNA
Rfam family: Bacterial large subunit ribosomal RNA
Source: RNAcentral
GGUCCUAAGGUAGCGAAAUUCCUUGUCGGGUAAGUUCCGACCUGCACGAAAGGCGCAACGAAUUGGGCGCUGUCUCGACCAUGGACCCGGUGAAAUUCCACUAGUCGUGAAGAUGCGACUUACCCGCGGAAGGACGGAAAGACCCCGUGAACCUUCACUGCAGCUUGGCAUUGGCCGCUGGCCCGUCGCGUAGAGGAUAGGCGGGAGGCUUCGAAGCCCGGGCGCCAGCCCGGGUGGAGCCGACCUUGGAAUACCGCCCUCGGCGCGCCGGCGUCCUAACCCCGGGCCGUGAUCCGGCCGGGGGACCGUGCCAGGUGGGUAGUUUGACUGGGGCGGUCGCCUCCCAAAGGGUAACGGAGGCGCGCGAAGGUCCGCUCGGGACGGUCGGCAACCGUCCUCAAUGAGUGCAAGAGCGUAAGCGGGCUUGACUGCGAGGCAGACACGCCGAGCAGGUGCGAAAGCAGGCUCUAGUGAUCCGGCGGCCCCGCGUGGGUGGGCCGUCGCUCAACGGAUAAAAGGUACUCCGGGGAUAACAGGCUGAUCUUGCCCAAGAGUCCACAUCGACGGCAAGGUUUGGCACCUCGAUGUCGGCUCAUCGCAUCCUGGGGCUGGAGCAGGUCCCAAGGGUACGGCUGUUCGCCGUUUAAAGCGGUACGCGAGCUGGGUUCAGAACGUCGUGAGACAGUUCGGUCCCUAUCCUCCGCGGGCGCAGGAGAAUCGAGGGAGGCUGCCCCUAGUACGAGAGGACCGGGGUGGACGCACCUCUGGUGAACCGGUUGUCGACCAACGGCACGGCCGGGUAGCCACGUGCGGCGCGGAUAACCGCUGAAGGCAUCUAAGCGGGAAGCCGUUCCCGAGAUCAGUUCUCCUUCCGGUAAGGGCCCAGGUAGACUACCUGGUCGAUAGGCGGCAGGUGCAAGCGCGGCGACGCGCUCAGCCGAGCCGUACUAAUAGCCCGAGCUCUUACCCG